GAACGCACAUUGCGCCCUUUGGCAUUCCGAAGGGCAUGCCCGUUCGAGCGUCAUUACACCCCUCAAGCCUGGCUUGGUAUUGGGCGACGGCAGUCUGCCGCGCCUCGAAGUGAUCGGCUGGACGGUUUGAAUCUCAGCGUUGUGGUUUCAUCAAUUCGCUGGCGAGGAUGACCGGACGCGCCGUUAAACCUCAAUCACAGGUUGACCUCGGAUCGGGUAGGGAUACCCGCUGAACUUAAG
Molecule: unclassified non-coding RNA, 240 nt
Filed under: Paradevriesia pseudoamericana
Lineage: Eukaryota; Fungi; Ascomycota; Dothideomycetes; Capnodiales; Paradevriesiaceae
Description: sequence contains 5.8S rRNA gene
Source: RNAcentral